UUUGCCCAGUAUGGUGUGGGGUUUGUUAAUUCUGUACGUUCAACAAAUACCAUCUCCAAGCAAGAAAGGAGUUUCAGCAUGCUCUUUAACUUAGGUUGCUGGAGGGAUGCCCUGAGUAAAGGACCUCCAGAUCUGCUCUGGACAGCACUUGCAAGAAUCUGCAGUUUCCCAUGUGCUGAUGUAACCUCGUGUCAUCUGCCACCCACUCGGCUGCCCUGCUGAGAUUUGUUCCAUUGCCUCCAAUUCUGUGUUUUAUCAGCUCUUUAAGCUGAAACUAAAAAACCCACACAUAAAGUAGUUAUUUUCGGAAGGGGAAACUGAUGGCUCUCUUUGUACAGAAACAUCUUACUUUCUCCUCAGCUCAUUUUAUAAAUUACUGCCUGCUCCAAACUGGACUGUUUAUCACUCUCAUCCUCAGCAGGGCUUUCUCAGCCCGUCGGCAGCUAUGUUUUGCCUUCCCAAUUUGUUUAGCCAAGAUUUAAGAUAGACAGAGACCGCUGCUCUUAUAAAUCCUGAUUUCAUUAGUGAUGAAGUGCCUGGCAAAAAGUCCCUGCGAUGGAUGCUCUGUGCUCCAUCUCCUGUGCAGCCUAACUAGGCCUCACACAGCGCGAUGAGCGCGGGAUGGCCAGAGCCCAGCGACACGCGAUAAUAAGAGCUAUGGAGAAAGUGGUCCCUGCGAGGCCUCAUUAUGGCUAUUUCUGGGGCUAAGUUACUGCUUCAGAGGGUGGAAAAGGCAUUUUUAUGGUGACUUCCCCAGAAUAAAAUGCAUCAUUUCUA
Molecule: long non-coding RNA, 777 nt
Organism: Lagopus leucura (white-tailed ptarmigan)
Lineage: Eukaryota; Metazoa; Chordata; Aves; Galliformes; Phasianidae
Exons: 3
Source: RefSeq, a predicted model, not a curated record